RNAcentral lists this long non-coding RNA (566 nucleotides) under Brassica rapa (field mustard). RNAcentral describes it as "long non-coding RNA (BRAP_LNC007286)". Lineage: Eukaryota; Viridiplantae; Streptophyta; Magnoliopsida; Brassicales; Brassicaceae. The record is from RNAcentral.
GAGCAGCUUUAUUAUCACGAGGGCCUUCGGGUGCUCUCCCUCCCUUAGAGCUCUGGGCUGUAGGUACAUGUUUUCUCUCCGCUCUCCGAGUUUCUUCCCGAUGUUUGCUUGCAGCGAAAGAAUCAUCAUACCUACGCUUGUUGUAAGUCUCUUUGCUAGGGGGUAAGAUAUCACGGUCACGGUCUCUCGGUGCCUGACGAUUGUUCUCACGGUGGUCAUCUCUAGGAGCAUACCGGGAGUCAAUACGUUUCCAUACGCUGUCCCUGUUAUCUCUUUGAGUUCCUUCCCCGGAGCGUCUCUCAAGAUAGCUUGGAGGCUUUUGUCCAGCUACAUUGAAUCUCUUUGAAAGGUCUCCCUUCCUAUUUGAAUCAAUUCUGGAUUGUUGCCCUUGGUCUCUGUUAUUUUCUUUUGAUAAUCGAAAUUGUUCUCUUUGCUCUUCAGUUAACAGCGGGCAAGUAUCAACUUCAUGGGAGAUACGGCGACAUGAGUGGCACCAGCGAUGAAGGUUAACAUAUUCCAGGGAAACCGGAACAAUUUCCCCUGAGGGGAGCUGCGCACGCAGAGCA